AGAGUUUGAUCAUGGCUCAGAUUGAACGCUGGCGGCAGGCUUAACACAUGCAAGUCGAACGGUAACAGAACUANCUUGCUAGUUGCUGACGAGUGGCGGACGGGUGAGUAACGCGUAGGAAUCUACCGAAUAGUGGGGGACAACAGUUGGAAACGGCUGCUCUUACCGCAUACGCCCUACGGGGGAAAGGAGGGGAUCUUCGGACCUUUCGCUAUUUGAUGAGCCUGCGUGAGAUUAGUUAGUUGGUGGGGUAAUGGCUCACCAAGGCGACGAUCUCUAGCUGGUCUGAGAGGAUGAUCAGCCACACUGGGACUGAGACACGGCCCAGACUCCUACGGGAGGCAGCAGUGGGGAAUAUUGCACAAUGGGGGAAACCCUGAUGCAGCCAUGCCGCGUGUGUGAAGAAGGCCUUCGGGUUGUAAAGCACUUUCAGUUGUGAGGAAAGGUUAAGGGUUAAUAACCCUUAG
Molecule: ribosomal RNA, 467 nt
Filed under: uncultured bacterium
Lineage: Bacteria
Description: bacterial SSU rRNA
Rfam family: Bacterial small subunit ribosomal RNA
Source: RNAcentral